RNAcentral lists this small RNA (487 nucleotides) under uncultured Paraglomus. RNAcentral describes it as "SSU rRNA". It matches the Rfam family "Eukaryotic small subunit ribosomal RNA", at positions 569 to 1062 of the family's 1831-position model. Lineage: Eukaryota; Fungi; Glomeromycota; Glomeromycetes; Paraglomerales; Paraglomeraceae. The record is from RNAcentral.
AGCAGCCGCGGUAAUUCCAGCUCCAAUAGCGUAUAUUAAAGUUGUUGUGGUUAAAAAGCUCGUAGUUGAACCUUGGGCCUGGCUGGCCGGUCCGCCUCACCGCGUGUACUGGUCCGGCCGGGCCUUUCCCUCUGUGGAACCCCAUGCCCUUCACUGGGUGUGGCGGGGAAACAGGACUUUUACUGUGAAAAAUUAGAGUGCUCCAGGCAGGCCUAUGCUCGAAUACAUUAGCAUGGAAUAAUAGAAUAGGACGUGUGGUUCUAUUUUGUUGGUUUCUAGGACCGCCGUAAUGAUUAAUAGGGACAGUCGGGGGCAUCAGUAUUCAAUUGUCAGAGGUGAAAUUCUUGGAUUUAUUGAAGACUAACUACUGCGAAAGCAUUUGCCAAGGAUGUUUUCAUUAAUCAGGAACGAAAGUUAGGGGAUCGAAGACGAUCAGAUACCGUCGUAGUCUUAACCAUAAACUAUGCCGACUAGGGAUCGGACGGUG